UAGGGGAUCGCAAGACCUUGCGCUAAAGGAGCGGCCGAUGUCUGAUUAGCUAGUUGGUGGGGUAAAGGCUUACCAAGGCAACGAUCAGUAGUUGGUCUGAGAGGACGGCCAACCACACUGGGACUGAGACACGGCCCAGACUCCUACGGGAGGCAGCAGUGGGGAAUUUUGGACAAUGGGCGAAAGCCUGAUCCAGCCAUGCCGCGUGAAUGAAGAAGGCCUUCGGGUUGUAAAGCUCUUUUAGUCGGAAAGAAAGAAUUGCAAUGAAUAAUUGUGAUUUAUGACGGUACCGACAGAAAAAGCACCGGCUAACUACGUGCCAGCAGCCGCGGUAAUACGUAGGGUGCGAGCGUUAAUCGGAAUUACUGGGCGUAAAGGGUGC
RNAcentral lists this ribosomal RNA (382 nucleotides) under uncultured Nitrosomonas sp. Its description in RNAcentral is "bacterial SSU rRNA". It matches the Rfam family "Bacterial small subunit ribosomal RNA", at positions 197 to 570 of the family's 1533-position model. Lineage: Bacteria; Pseudomonadati; Pseudomonadota; Betaproteobacteria; Nitrosomonadales; Nitrosomonadaceae. The record is from RNAcentral.